CAAGAGAUCUACAACAAAAUAC
This 22-nucleotide small nuclear RNA is filed under the name Arabidopsis thaliana (thale cress). Its description in RNAcentral is "snRNA_03109". The record is from RNAcentral. Lineage: Eukaryota; Viridiplantae; Streptophyta; Magnoliopsida; Brassicales; Brassicaceae.